This 477-nucleotide ribosomal RNA is filed under the name Triticum aestivum (bread wheat). RNAcentral's name for it is "partial small subunit ribosomal RNA". The record is from RNAcentral. Lineage: Eukaryota; Viridiplantae; Streptophyta; Magnoliopsida; Poales; Poaceae.
AUGUAUCAUACCAAUGCUCUGUGGUUGUGCUGGAGGGGUUGGCUUAACUAUUUUUACCUAAAAAAAGGAAGAUUCCUGAUAAAUAACAUAUCACACAUGUGCAGAUUGGAGCAUACACAUUGCUUGAAUGGGAACAUACUUACAUGUGAGCGAGGCCAAGCAAUAACAGAACCCAUAGCAUCCCUUACUGUUUGGAUUUUUUCAUAUGGUCUAACUAGUUUCUCAUCUCCUAGAUAUGUACAGCCGCGAACACGAACUGCAACGUAUUGCACUCCAAGCAUGUUUCCUCCAACCACAUAUGUUUUCUCUUUACUCUCUAAAGUUCCUUUGGCCACAAGUUUGUCUUUGUUUCUCAAGUUCAUCGAAUACAACACGACUUCAACUUUAUCCUAUUUUUCAAGAAAUGGAACAUUUGUUAUUGAUGAACCUGAGAAGAUUUCAUUUUACACAAAUAAGAACAAUUUCACAAAUAAUUAG